UACGGAGGAUCCAAGCGUUAUCCGGAAUUACUGGGCGUAAAGAGUUGCGUAGGCGGCAUAGUAAGCAGGUAGUGAAAUGACGGGGCUCAACCCCGUGUCCAUUAUCUGAACUGCUAAGCUAGAGUAUGAGAGAGGUACCUGGAAUUUCCUGUGUAGGAGUGAAAUCCGUAGAUAUAGGAAGGAACACCGAUGGCGUAGGCAGGGUACUGGCUCAUUACUGACGCUCAGGCACGAAAGCGUGGGGAGCGACCGGG
RNAcentral lists this ribosomal RNA (254 nucleotides) under uncultured bacterium. RNAcentral's name for it is "partial 16S ribosomal RNA". It matches the Rfam family "Bacterial small subunit ribosomal RNA", at positions 524 to 776 of the family's 1533-position model. The record is from RNAcentral.